GCCCUCUUUUCCUUCUUUUCUGUUUGGUGCUGUUUCUUUUACACCCAAAAAGAUCAGUUUUUGAGUGACACCAACAGUUUAAAACAAGAAAGGAAGAGUUGCUAUGGAGAGAAAAUCGAUAAUAAUUUGUGGGGUUGUGGGAUUUCUAGGGUUAUUAUCUGCUGUUACUGGUUUUGCUGCUGAGGCCACAAGGAUUAAGGGUUCUCAGGUCCAGGUUCCGACUCCUACAGAAUGUGUAUAUCCGAGGAGUCCUGCACUGGGUCUUGGAUUGACUGCUUCUGUGGCUCUUAUGGUUGCUCAAAUAAUUAUCAAUGUAGCAAGUGGAUGUGUCUGCUGUCAGAAAGGCCAACAUCAAUCAGCAUCUAAUUGGACGCUAGCACUAAUAUGUUUUGUUGUAUCCUGGUUUACAUUUGUUAUAGCAUUUCUAUUGUUGCUAACAGGCGCAGCAUUGAAUGAUCAGCAUGGUGACGAGAACCUGUAUUUCGGCAACUACUAUUGCUAUGUUGUAAAGCCUGGAGUAUUUGCUGGAGCUGCUAUCUUGUCCCUUGCCAGUGUUGCUCUUGGAAUCACCUAUUAUCUUUCCUUGACAUCUGCAAAGAACAUCAAUGAUCCAUGGCGUCCACCAGCUCCAAGUCAAGGUGGUAUUGCAAUGGGACACCCACAAUUUCCUUCACAGACCAGUCAGGAGCCAGUUUUUGUGCAUGAAGAUACUUAUAUGAGACGCAUAUCUACCUGAUUGUCCCUAGACCCGUAUAAACAUAAGGAAUGGAGGUGUUAAGGGUGUAAUAGUCGUCUUCUAUAUGUGAAACACUCUCCUUCGUGAGACUAUUGUAUCAUACUAUUUUUUUUUGUUUUUUCAUUUGCUAUGGCUGUGGCAGUGAUAGCUUAAUUUUGUCGGAAAUUUGUAGCCUUUAGCAUGUUUCAGGAGGUGAUGUGUGUACGUAAUCCAACAAUGCAACAUACUCUUGUAUUGAACUCUGUAGUUUCG
Molecule: unclassified non-coding RNA, 988 nt
Filed under: Hevea brasiliensis (rubber tree)
Lineage: Eukaryota; Viridiplantae; Streptophyta; Magnoliopsida; Malpighiales; Euphorbiaceae
Source: RNAcentral